CGAGCAUAUUUUCUCACUCAUGGUGUAGGGAAAAAUAUGCUUAAGCAAAGCAUCUGAUACAAUCUUCUCUCUGAAAGAACUCUCCAGUCUCCAUUGUUAUUCUCCAGCUCAGUUGCACUUGAUUCUGUUAUUCCAUGCCAUUGUUGAUGCAAUCGAUCAACUAUAAAUAAAGGGUUACUGGAAGAGCUACCCUUGAGGCCAGCAAGAUAUCAUCUCUUUCGCUCACAAGAGAAAGAAGCCCUAGAAGAAGAUAUGGCAUCCCUCAAGGCUGAGAAACCUGCUGGCUCUCAAUUGCCUGGCCAGGCCAAGCAAGAGCCUCCCAAACAAAGCGGCAGCGCCCCGAAAGCCCCGGCGACGAAACCUGCCCCCAAGAAGGCCGAGCCGAAGCCGGCUCAGCCUAGGAAGAAGGCAACCGGUGGCAAGAAAUAGAAGAUCGCGUCGCGGUUUUUGUCGUGCCGGAGACUCUGUCGUGAAGCUUACACUCAUGGAAGGGCCUCUCUAAUAAGUGUGUGUCUUUGAUGAAUACGGUGUUGUACUUUAGCUUUUGAAUUUCGACCAUGUCCUCCCUCCGUUUCAGCUCGCCGUGAUGAAUAAAAGAUAAGUAUUGAAAGAAA
Molecule: long non-coding RNA, 614 nt
Organism: Syzygium oleosum
Lineage: Eukaryota; Viridiplantae; Streptophyta; Magnoliopsida; Myrtales; Myrtaceae
Exons: 2
Source: RefSeq, a predicted model, not a curated record